UCCGGUUGAUCCUGCCGGACCCCACUGCUAUCGGGAUAGGACUAAGACAUGCUAGUCGAGCGCUCUUCAGCCAUGAUAAGAGCGCGGCACACAGCUCAGUAACACGUGGCUAACCUGCCCUCGGGACGGGAACACCCCCGGGAAACUGGGGCUAAUUCCCGAUAGGCGAAGAACUCUGGAAUGAGUCUCCGCCCAAAAGACGCUUAGAUCACGCUUUUAAGCGCCGCCCAAGGAUGGGGCCGCGACCGAUCAGGUUGUUGGUGAGGUAACGGCCCACCAAGCCUUUUACCGGUGCGGGCCGUGGGAGCGGGAGCCCGGAGAUGGGCACUGAGACAAGGGCCCAGGCCCUACGGGGCGCAGCAGUCGCGAAAACUUUGCAAUAAGCGAAAGCUUGACAGGGCUAUCCCGAGUGCCAUCCGCUGAGGAAGGCUUUUACCCAGUCUAGAACGCUGGGAGAAUAAGGAGAGGGCAAGUCUGGUGUCAGCCGCCGCGGUAAUACCAGCUCUCCGAGUGGUGUGGAUGUUUAUUGGGCCUAAAGCAUCCGUAGCUGGCCAGGCAAGUCCCCUGUUAAAUCCACCGAAUCAAUCGUUGGAUUGCGGGGGAUACUGCUCGGCUAGGGGACGAGAGAGG
This 630-nucleotide ribosomal RNA is filed under the name uncultured Thermoprotei archaeon. RNAcentral's name for it is "bacterial SSU rRNA". It matches the Rfam family "Archaeal small subunit ribosomal RNA", at positions 1 to 608 of the family's 1478-position model. The record is from RNAcentral. Lineage: Archaea; Thermoproteati; Thermoproteota; Thermoprotei.